CAGCCGCCACGGGAAUACGAAGGGGGCUAGCGUUGUUCGGAAUUACUGGGCGUAAAGCGCACGUAGGCGGCUCCGCAAGUCGGAUGUGAAAUCCCUCGGCUUAACCAAGGAAGUGCAUCCGAAACUGCAGAGCUUGAGUACUUAAGAGGAUCGCGGAAUUCCCGGUGUAGAGGUGAAAUUCGUAGAUAUCGGGAGGAACACCAGUGGCGAAGGCGGCGAUCUGGGAAGAUACUGACGCUGAGAGACGAAAGCUAGGGGAGCAAAUGGGAUUAGAUACCCCAGUAGUCCCUGUCUCUUAUAC
RNAcentral lists this ribosomal RNA (301 nucleotides) under uncultured bacterium. RNAcentral describes it as "partial 16S ribosomal RNA". It matches the Rfam family "Bacterial small subunit ribosomal RNA", at positions 509 to 807 of the family's 1533-position model. The record is from RNAcentral.